UUCAUCUUCUAAUGAACUCCUGUGUUGUGGUGAAGUCCUUAGGACUAUUUAGACUCGACAAAGGAGGAUUUGUCGCUUAGUCCUUAAACCUGUUCGCGACCAAAUGAUACGUUGUUACCAAGGACGACAACGUUUAUCGAGCAUAGGUCGUUGUGUGCCAUAUGGGUUGGUUGUCCUUAUAACCAAAGAGUGUGGAGACACUGGUAUGGCAUACAGGUGAGAUGUAAUGGUACAUCUGCACU
This 242-nucleotide long non-coding RNA is filed under the name Elaeis guineensis (African oil palm). RNAcentral's name for it is "long non-coding RNA (EGUI_LNC045383)". The record is from RNAcentral. Lineage: Eukaryota; Viridiplantae; Streptophyta; Magnoliopsida; Arecales; Arecaceae.